AUCAACAGCUGUAGAAUCUCUGCUGAGUCCUGGCUGCUCCUUUCAGGCAGCCUUCCUGGAGAGCACUGAAUCCAGCUCCUGCCAGAAGGCUAUAACAUGGGGUCCAUACUUUGUCUCCAGUAAAACUUGGAAUGCUGCCCAAUCCAAACAGGUUGGAGGAAGUUAGAUUUUUUUUCUUUCUUCAUUGUUAGAAGAUUAUGGAAUCAUCAUCAUGAGUUGUUCUGCUCACAAAGAUUGGUAGGUGUGGGAUCUCCAAGCUCCAUUUCUGCAGUUUCAUCAGAGAAUAGGAGGAUCUUGUGAAUCUGACCAUGCUCAGUGUGCAGGCGGCUACCAGGGAUAAUGAGGU
Heterocephalus glaber (naked mole-rat) is the source of this 346-nucleotide long non-coding RNA. Lineage: Eukaryota; Metazoa; Chordata; Mammalia; Rodentia; Bathyergidae. The record is from Ensembl.